CGAACGUUAGCGGCGCGCCUAACACAUGCAAGUCGAGCGAGAAAGGGGCAACCCCGGUAAAGCGGCGCACGGGUGAGUAACACGUAGGUAAUCUACCCUCGGGUGGAGGAUAACUUUCCGAAAGGAAGGCUAAUACUGCAUGAGACCACGGUUCCGGAAGGGAUUGAGGUCAAAGCCGGCCACUGUACACAAGCUGGCGCCUGAGGAUGAGCCUGCGGCCCAUCAGCUAGUUGGUAGGGUAAUGGCCUACCAAGGCGAAGACGGGUAGCUGGUCUGAGAGGAUGAUCAGCCACACUGGAACUGAGACACGGUCCAGACUCCUACGGGAGGCAGCAGUGGGGAAUCUUGCGCAAUGGGCGAAAGCCUGACGCAGCGACGCCGCGUGAGUGAUGAAGGCCUCGG
This 402-nucleotide ribosomal RNA is filed under the name uncultured bacterium. Its description in RNAcentral is "bacterial SSU rRNA". It matches the Rfam family "Bacterial small subunit ribosomal RNA", at positions 30 to 420 of the family's 1533-position model. The record is from RNAcentral.